GAUGAACGCUGGCGGCGUGCCUAAUACAUGCAAGUCGAGCGAACAGACGAGGAGCUUGCUCCUCUGAUGUUAGCGGCGGACGGGUGAGUAACACGUGGAUAACCUACCUAUAAGACUGGGAUAACUUCGGGAAACCGGAGCUAAUACCGGAUAACAUGUUGAACCGCAUGGUUCAACAGUGAAAGACGGUCUUGCUGUCACUUAUAGAUGGAUCCGCGCCGCAUUAGCUAGUUGGUAAGGUAACGGCUUACCAAGGCAACGAUGCGUAGCCGACCUGAGAGGGUGAUCGGCCACACUGGAACUGAGACACGGUCCAGACUCCUACGGGAGGCAGCAGUAGGGAAUCUUCCGCAAUGGGCGAAAGCCUGACGGAGCAACGCCGCGUGAGUGAAGAAGGUCUUCGGAUCGUAAAACUCUGUUAUUAGGGAAGAACAAAUGUGUAAGUAACUAUGCACGUCUUGACGGUACCUAAUCAGAAAGCCACGGCUAACUACGG
Molecule: ribosomal RNA, 496 nt
Filed under: uncultured bacterium
Lineage: Bacteria
Description: partial 16S ribosomal RNA
Rfam family: Bacterial small subunit ribosomal RNA
Source: RNAcentral